GAGGGUUUAGCUCAGUGGUAGAAUGUGUGCUUAGCAUGCACGAGGUUCUGGAUUCAGUUCCCAGUACCUCCA
Molecule: transfer RNA, 72 nt
Filed under: Camelus bactrianus (Bactrian camel)
Lineage: Eukaryota; Metazoa; Chordata; Mammalia; Artiodactyla; Camelidae
Also listed under: 2 other names
Rfam family: tRNA
About the family: Transfer RNA (tRNA) molecules are approximately 80 nucleotides in length. Their secondary structure includes four short double-helical elements and three loops (D, anti-codon, and T loops).
Source: Rfam by way of RNAcentral